Molecule: long non-coding RNA, 890 nt
Filed under: Olea europaea (common olive)
Lineage: Eukaryota; Viridiplantae; Streptophyta; Magnoliopsida; Lamiales; Oleaceae
Description: long non-coding RNA (OEUR_LNC011155)
Source: RNAcentral
GAAAAAGAUUGCUACUAAUUUUGCGUCCAUUUAACGCUAAACGUGUCAAUUCAUCCACGCACACUUGAGUUAAAAUAUUGGUCCACCAUUGGGGCAAUGCCAAAUUCAAAAUUGGGUGGGCGCAAAAACUCAUCUAUAGCAGAUAAUUUUUACUGACAUUCAAGAACAACAACAAUUUGCAUCUGUACUUACAAAUUGAGUUAAUUUCCUCAUCCAUCCAUAUAAGAUAUCCUACACACAGUAAAAUGCAAUUCAAGGCUGUCCAACGGGUUUGGUUUAUGUGCGUAUUUUGAGUUUCUCUGACACAGAACAUAAGAAAAGAAGAAAAGCUUUACGUAGGCCUUCAUCAAACCAUUUCUGAACAUAGAUUCAGUUCUCAAGGUUCAGAGGAGCCAUAUACUGAAGUUCCGGUUGAAGCUCAUGCAUCUUGAUCAAAACCACGGGAAGCAGCUGUGAAUGAUUUUCUGGAGUGGAGAUAAAAAUCGAAAUAAACAACAAAACAUUUAUCAGCUUCAGAAAUAAAUUGAAGCCACUGCUUAGUCCAGGAAACAUUGAAAGAAGACAUCGAUUUACAAUUCUUUCUGAUAUCAAUCAUCUUCAUCACUUCCAUAUUGUUGGCAUAAUGACUGCAAUCCACUGCUUGCAACAGUGGUCGGUCCUGCCUCCUGAUUCUUUGGCUUCUCCUUUGCUGGCUUGUUAUUAGUGGAAUCUGGACGUGGUUUCUUAAGAAUUGAAAGAGUGACUGUUGAAGACUUGAACAUGAAUUUGCCAUUAUCAGAAGCCCCAGAAAUCUGCAUAUUAUCUGCGACCACCACAACAGUGGUCUGUUCAGUGUUUCAGAAACAUAUAGCAUUUAACAUAAUGUGGCCAUCUCAAAGCCGGCAAUGUAU